GUGCUAUACCUUAUAUCCUGUUGCUUAUCUAUUUUAAAUAUGGUUUCUUUAAAUAGGGUUUCUGCAAACUAUUAUAUAGUUUGUAUCUGUUAAUCCCAUCCCGCUGCUCUUCCCUCUCCUUUUUGGUAAAACCACAAGUUUUGUUUCCUAUGUCUCUGAGUCCGUUUCUGUUUUGGAUAUACAUAUGUUUUCUUUUUUUUAAUUCCACAUACAACUGAUAUUAUCAUGUAGUAUUUGUCUUUCUCUUUUUCUUUGACUAAUUUCACUAAGCAUGAUGCUCUCUCGGUCCAUCCACAUUUCUGGGGCAUUUUAAGUACUGACUCCUGGGUCCCACCUCCAGCCAUUCUGCCAUGAGAUGAAGCCAGGCACCGCAGUUUUCGAAGCUCCCUCGGGGGAUUUGAAUACGCAGCAAAACACAUUUCACCUGGUGGCCUCUCCGCAGGAGGCUGGCAUCACACUGGCUGGUGAUGCUUUCUGGGCUUUGUCGGAUUUUCAUUCCUCAGGAAACAGAACCAGGAGUGACCAGCGAGGCCCAGCCCAGUGGCAGAGCUGAGAUCUCUGUGACCGGCAGAGGGUCCCUGGCUGAGAGAGGGUACCGGUUGCCUUCUGCCUGCCUGCCCCAGGCAAGGUGAGUGCUGGCUGGACACAGGCGUCCUGGGGCUGUGUGUUUGUGGCCACCAUCCCUCCAGCAGCGAUUGCAGAAACUCAGGAGAAGGGCAUGAGUACCACACGCAACUGAUGCUGGAGACUUGGGUCUCCAAACGGGUCACGGUUUGAAUACUGGGGGGUCCCAGGUGAGUCCCCUACUCUUUCCACUCGUUCAUUUUUUCAUACACAUUUUUGGCCAUUUACCAAGCACUCUGCUGGGCCCAGCGAAAACAGGUGAAUUGGUGUAAGUGAUCGCCAGGCAGGAAGGGCAGGGAAGGAGAAAAUUCAGGCAGAGGCCAGGGACUGUAAGUGGUCAGAUAAGGACGGCUCGAGGGAGGGAAAGGCAGGGGCCCAAUCAAGCCUCGGGCACCAUGCUGAGGAGCUCAGGCUUUAUCCUGGAUGAGCUCUCCCCUGAGGGGGAUCCAUAGCCCGUGCUAGCAGUGGGCUAGCAGACCACCCGGCACUCUGAAUCCUGGGACCGCCCCACCCCACCCCAUGCACUGCUGGUCACUGGGAGCACUCAAGACAGGAAGGGCCCUGCAUGUGGAUAAAGCUCAGGAAACGCAGGUUGGAAGGAAGCCUGACUGUGGAGACCAACGGUCAGACCUGACAGUAAAGCCCUUCCUUACCCCAGCCAGCUUCCGAAGCAAAGAGAAAAGAGCAGAGCAGGCUGCUUCAGAAGCGGACCCCAUGUCGCCCCCUGGAGGUCAGCGAUGCCAUCAAGGCUCAGCCUACACCAUGAACGGGUCACAAGCAGCAGCCCGGGAAGACUGUGGUCUGACUGCCCAGCAAGUUCUAUGAAUAAGCCCAGUCUUCACUCACAGUUCAUGAAAGGAACACUGUCCCAGAGCAGCCUCAGCCCCUGUGGGUUUCAGCUCAGAAGGAGAAUGUUGUUGCUUGAGCCUCUUUCGAGUUUUAAAAAGGACAAGGAAAGGCACUGUGUACAGUGUUUUACUUCGGGCCUUUUUUUUUUCAUUACUCCAAACUGUUGGAUGUUGAAAACCUUGCAUUUACUUGUGAAUUGCCUGUCUGUGUUUAUGUAUGGAGGAGGGUAAAGACUUGAAGAGUCAAAAUUACUUUUAUUUUCCUUGUAAGUUUCUCCACAACUUAGCUUUUCAUCGAGCAUCCCAUAUUUAUUUCUGUGUAAUUAUGUCAUUAUUUGGUGCAUUUUAUAACCAGAGAUGCUAAAAAUUGUUCUAUCCCACCCUUCCAUGCUGAAGUCAGAUGAGCCACAGUGGUGGCACAGAAUCCAGACCCACCCAGCAGUUAGACGGGGCCUCACUUACCCAUGGAAAACAGUCCUGGAUGAGCACACCAAUUUACCCAGGAGAAUAAGCAAAGAAACACUGUAGGUAAUAGAGUCAAAUACUAACUCAACGACAGAAAUUUAAUUAGGACCACACGAUUUACUUGUAUGUAAGAUGUUUCAUAUAUCAAAGGCAAAUUAGGAGUUAAAUGGGAGAAGGAAAAACUGAAGACAAGUUGGAAAUAAAAAACAGCUUGUCAUGUUCUUGCCCUUUUCUUGGUCAAGCUGUUGAUUAGCAGGCAGCUAGCUAAGAG
This is a long non-coding RNA of Bos taurus (domestic cattle), 2208 nucleotides long. The record is from Ensembl. NCBI's taxonomy places the organism in Eukaryota, Metazoa, Chordata, Mammalia, Artiodactyla, Bovidae.